UUGAUGCCUUGGGGAGAACAAAGUUUUUUAUUUGUCCCCAGGCAUGCUAUACCCAUGCUCCAUAACCAUGUGCCUUCCCCUGACCUGAAAGGACCACCUUUAAGGGUGAGAAAGUAGUUUAGUUUCUGUGCCUUUUUAAACUUGCUCUUUC
Anser brachyrhynchus (Pink-footed goose) is the source of this 151-nucleotide unclassified non-coding RNA. The record is from Ensembl. NCBI's taxonomy places the organism in Eukaryota, Metazoa, Chordata, Aves, Anseriformes, Anatidae.